Molecule: long non-coding RNA, 446 nt
Organism: Sorex fumeus (smoky shrew)
Lineage: Eukaryota; Metazoa; Chordata; Mammalia; Eulipotyphla; Soricidae
Exons: 3
Source: RefSeq, a predicted model, not a curated record
UUCCUUGGCAUUGGGUUCAGCUGGGCUCAGAUCUCUCACAGAUAAAGGGACAGUUCUGCUAAGCUGGCAACCCUGCUAAGACACCCUGAUCCCUGGCCUCAUAUCCACGGUGACCAGCUGGGGUCAAGGUGCCAGUGGAACCUGCCUCCCAGCGCAAAUAUACCAUCCACUGUCCCCAACUCAGGGGGAAACAGCUUCAGCUCACCAUGACGUCUGUGCAGACGCAUCUUCCCUUCCUGGGCCUCAAUUUCCUCAUCUGUAAAAGGGAUUCUUGGGCCAAGGAGACAGCACAGUGGAUCACACCUGAUGAUGCUCAGGGGUAGCCCCUGGCUCUGCACUCAGGAAUUACUCCUGGCGGUGUUUGGGGACCACAUGAGAAGCCGAGUAUUGAAGCCAGGACAGCCAGACAGCCCCUCUCUUCUCUUUUGAACACACACUUCUCCCUU